CACGUAGGGUGCGAGCGUUGUCCGGAAUCAUUGGGCGUAAAGCGCACGUAGGCGGUUCGUUAUGUCGGAUGUGAAAGCCCUUGGCUUAACCGAGGAAGUGCAUCCGAAACUGGCGAGCUAGAGUACGAAAGAGGAUCGCGGAAUUCCCGGUGUAGAGGUGAAAUUCGUAGAUAUCGGGAGGAACACCGGUGGCGAAGGCGGCGAUCUGGGUCGAUACUGACGCUGAGGUGCGAAAGCGUGGGGAGCAAACAGG
This 253-nucleotide ribosomal RNA is filed under the name uncultured bacterium. Its description in RNAcentral is "partial 16S ribosomal RNA". It matches the Rfam family "Bacterial small subunit ribosomal RNA", at positions 524 to 776 of the family's 1533-position model. The record is from RNAcentral.